GCAGUCGACGAACUCUGGUAUUGAUUGGUGCUUGCAUCAUGAUUUACAUUUGAGUGAGUGGCGAACUGGUGAGUAACACGUGGGAAACCUGCCCAGAAGCGGGGGAUAACACCUGGAAACAGAUGCUAAUACCGCAUAACAACUUGGACCGCAUGGUCCGAGUUUGAAAGAUGGCUUCGGCUAUCACUUUUGGAUGGUCCCGCGGCGUAUUAGCUAGAUGGUGGGGUAACGGCUCACCAUGGCAAUGAUACGUAGCCGACCUGAGAGGGUAAUCGGCCACAUUGGGACUGAGACACGGCCCAAACUCCUACGGGAGGCAGCAGUAGGGAAUCUUCCACAAUGGACGAAAGUCUGAUGGAGCAACGCCGCGUGAGUGAAGAAGGGUUUCGGCUCGUAAAACUCUGUUGUUAAAGAAGAACAUAUCUGAGAGUAACUGUUCAGGUAUUGACGGUAUUUAACCAGAAAGCCACGGCUAACUACGUGCCAGCAGCCGCGGUAAUACGUAGGUGGCAAGCGUUGUCCGGAUUUAUUGGGCGUAAAGCGAGCGCAGGCGGUUUUUUAAGUCUGAUGUGAAAGCCUUCGGCUCAACCGAAGAAGUGCAUCGGAAACUGGGAAACUUGAGUGCAGAAGAGGACAGUGGAACUCCAUGUGUAGCGGUGAAAUGCGUAGAUAUAUGGAAGAACACCAGUGGCGAAGGCGGCUGUCUGGUCUGUAACUGACGCUGAGGCUCGAAAGUAUGGGUAGCAAACAGGAUUAGAUACCCUGGUAGUCCAUACCGUAAACGAUGAAUGCUAAGUGUUGGAGGGUUUCCGCCCUUCAGUGCUGCAGCUAACGCAUUAAGCAUUCCGCCUGGGGAGUACGGCCGCAAGGCUGAAACUCAAAGGAAUUGACGGGGGCCCGCACAAGCGGUGGAGCAUGUGGUUUAAUUCGAAGCUACGCGAAGAACCUUACCAGGUCUUGACAUACUAUGCAAAUCUAAGAGAUUAGACGUUCCCUUCGGGGACAUGGAUACAGGUGGUGCAUGGUUGUCGUCAGCUCGUGUCGUGAGAUGUUGGGUUAAGUCCCGCAACGAGCGCAACCCUUAUUAUCAGUUGCCAGCAUUAAGUUGGGCACUCUGGUGAGACUGCCGGUGACAAACCGGAGGAAGGUGGGGAUGACGUCAAAUCAUCAUGCCCCUUAUGACCUGGGCUACACACGUGCUACAAUGGAUGGUACAACGAGUUGCGAACUCGCGAGAGUAAGCUAAUCUCUUAAAGCCAUUCUCAGUUCGGAUUGUAGGCUGCAACUCGCCUACAUGAAGUCGGAAUCGCUAGUAAUCGCGGAUCAGCAUGCCGCGGUGAAUACGUUCCCGGGCCUUGUACACACCGCCCGUCACACCAUGAGAGUUUGUAACACCCAAAGUCGGUG
This 1407-nucleotide ribosomal RNA is filed under the name Lactiplantibacillus plantarum. RNAcentral's name for it is "bacterial SSU rRNA". It matches the Rfam family "Bacterial small subunit ribosomal RNA", at positions 57 to 1432 of the family's 1533-position model. The record is from RNAcentral. Lineage: Bacteria; Bacillati; Bacillota; Bacilli; Lactobacillales; Lactobacillaceae.